This 2060-nucleotide long non-coding RNA is filed under the name Lactuca sativa (garden lettuce). RNAcentral's name for it is "long non-coding RNA (LSAT_LNC001672)". The record is from RNAcentral. Lineage: Eukaryota; Viridiplantae; Streptophyta; Magnoliopsida; Asterales; Asteraceae.
GCUGUUAACCUUACUCUUGUAGGACUUCUAUUGAUACCACCUCUCUCAUGAUCGAGAAAACAAAAUAUUGAGGUAACUCAAAAAAGUUUAUCACAAUAACAUUCUAACUCCCUAUUUAAUGGUGCUUGUGUAGGAAAUGGAGAAAAAACAACUUGAACAGUCGCUCGUAGACUCCAUUAUAGCCUUGGCCCUAGAACAGUUGAAGGCGUCAGGUUUUUGGAUGAAUUCUCACAACCUCGACAAAGUAUUAAAUUCUAUUGUUUUAUUGUUUUAAUUUUGAGGGUGUUUUUUCUAAUUGGAUGAUGAUGAUUUGGAAGAACAUCUCUCUCUCUCUCUCUCUCUCUCUCUCUCUCUCUCUCAAAUAGAUGAACCCUUUGAUUACAUCAGGUAAAAUUUCAUUAUCCUGUAUAAACCCUUUGAUUUUCCCAACAAUGACACCCCACCCCAUCAUGUUUUUGGUAUGUUAAUAAGCUCUUAAUUUUUAAAGAUUUUAGUGCUUUAAACUUUUGUGUUGAGGAAACAUUUAAGUUUGAUGUUGUGAUUUUUAGGUUUUUGUCGAUUCUCAGAAAGAGGUGUUUGGAUGUCUGGAACCUAGCUAUGAAGGUAUAGAGGAAAAGGGAUUUGAGGGGGAAUAGAACAUUAUGCAGAAAAGUUAGUUGGUCAACAUGCUCUAUGUGAAGUUAUAUUUUGGGUAAAUUACAUCAAUCGUCCCUUGUGUACAUGCCAGAAAGGGUGUUUAGUCCCUAUUUUCGAAAAUUAACUCGGACUGUCCUUCAUGUCGUUAAAAGGUGCACGAUUCAUCCCUCGUUAGUUUAAAUUUGCACUUUUCAUCCCUUAUGAUACAUCAAAAGCCUAUAAUACCCUUUUCUUUUUCUUUUUCAUUUAUUUUGAACAUUUUUUUUUAUAUUUUUAAUUAUUAAAAAUUAUUUAAAGUAUUUUUCUAUUUUGUUAAAUAACACCUGACCACCACCGGUAAUCUACACCACCACCGGAAAAAGAAGCACCACUGCCACCCCUCACUUCAUCCCACCCACUCCUUCGUUCAAAUUUCAAAUGUUUCGCUGAAAAUAACCACAAACCACCACCUCAUUCACCGAACCAACUACAUAUACUCAAACCACCAUCAAAACAACCAUUUACUAUUAACAUCACCACAACCUUUAUUGAAAAACUCACCUACAAAUCUAGAAAGAAUAAUCAGGGAAAAUCAGGAAGGAAGAAUCAUGGCAUGGAAAUGUUUAAUUUGAAAUCAGUAAAGGAUUUAGAGUUCUUAAGUUGAAAGCAGGUUUGAUUCAAUAAACCUCCAAAUAUGAUUUGAUACCAGGGAUAUGGCAAAUCUGCAAUUCAUCUAAUUCAUUGUUCAUCAAUUUCUUACCCCUUAAUCUCCAAUUCGUUGUCUUCUUCACUUUACAAGAAGAAAGAGACGCAUCUAGUGAUCGAUUGGAGGGAGAAGAAUAAGGUUGUAUCUGUGUUGAGACUUGUUGUGGGUAUAAACAUGCAAAAUCAGAACCGGAGGUUGUGAUGGUGGUUGCAAUUUGUAGAGAAAGACAGGUUGCAUUAUUCUCCUUCUUAUUCCCUAAUUAAAACCCUUGAACAUCCUUUUUCGGAAAUCUUCGGAUGGUACAUCACAUUAGCCUCGAUUGAAUCGAUUUCUUACCCUAACCUCAUCAUCUUAGAUCUGUAAACCCUUAGUUUUCUCCGAUGAGCUUCAAGAAACCCCUCCGAUUUUGCACCAUUUUUCAGUUAUAGGCCCGAUUUCUAGGUGUGUGGUCGCCAGCGUAGUUGCAGAAGAGAUGAGAAUGUGACUUAGCGGAUCUGUGAUGGUGGUGCUUUGUCGGAAAUCAUCGGUCUCCUUUUUCACCUGUUCACCACCAUCGGAAGUUGCCGACGGAGUUUCAGAUCAAGGUGAUGAUGGUGUUUUGGUUCAAUGAUUUAGGUUUGUUAUGAAGGAGGUAAGAACAGGGGAGAAGGGAAGUGCCGUACAGAGGGGUUGAAAUAUUUGGUUUAUUUAUUUAUUUUUUAAUUUAAAAUUGAUAAAGAAAUAAAAAAUGAAAAAAAAU